Molecule: transfer RNA, 78 nt
Filed under: Omnitrophica WOR_2 bacterium SM23_29
Lineage: Bacteria; Pseudomonadati; Candidatus Omnitrophota
Description: tRNA-Glu
Rfam family: tRNA
About the family: Transfer RNA (tRNA) molecules are approximately 80 nucleotides in length. Their secondary structure includes four short double-helical elements and three loops (D, anti-codon, and T loops).
Source: RNAcentral
GGCCCCAUCGUCUAGCCUGGUUUAGGACAAAUGGUUCUCAGCCAUUAGACACCGGUUCAAAUCCGGUUGGGGCUGCUA